AGUAAGGAGUCCUUUAUUUGUUGUAGAUCCUUGUCGCCCAUGAGUGAUGGACGCUGUAUGGUUAUGCAGUGCUGCUGGUGUGAAGGUUAUUACCCUUUAUGGUUUAUUUUUCUUUGAUCAUAUCUUCUUUCCAUCUAUAUCUACUUCAAAUAUUCUUUCCAUGGAAUCUCAACCGAUUGGGUUUGUAAUAGGAGGUUUGGAUCAUGCAGUUUGCAGAUAUUCAAUUAUAAAAUAUUUGUGGUUCAUCAGUUCCUUUUGUGCAUGUUGUGAAGAAUGUGUCAUAUGAGCCAAGAUUCAAACGCUUCUGGAUGUGAAUUUGACAAAACGGAUCAUCUUAGGUACUAAUAGAAAUAUUUACUUCCAAAUUUCCAAUUUCUCCUUCAUGUGGCCAUGUUACAGAUAUUUGAUUAAAAAAAUCUUUACUACACAUGAUCUGCCUAUGUUACAAAUAUUUGAUUAAAAAAUUCUGUUUCAACGGAUAUUGGAUUUUGUUACGGUCUGGUUCAUUCUCACUGUUGUUUAAUCUUUCAGUUUGGGGGUGUCUCUCUUCUGUAUAUUGAUAACUAUCUGUUUCUAGUAGGAUGAGUGUCCUGAAGAAUCGGAAGAUGCUGCAAAACAUGAUGAUGUGAUACUGCCAUGCUAUUUCUACCGGUCUCUCUGCUAGUGCCUUAUCGCUCGUUCACCAAUCUCCAUCCUCACCAUGGUCUCUGUACUCAACAAGGGUGAACUCUACAAGUUCUAGUAGGCUCCUCGGUGACUCCUCACAGGAGAGCUUUUGGCCUGAUCUGAUGGAGCUGAGAGGUAUGCAUGCAAGUUUAGCUGAUUUCCUUUACUGAUCUGUAGCGGCAUAGUUGAUUUGUCACAGUAAAAGAGAUAGGGCGGUCUGAUUGUGCAAAAUGAACUCUACAUAUGUAUAGCUCUUAGUUCUUGUUACAGUCAAACAUGAACCAUUUCCACAUAGAAAACCAUUAAUUAGAGAUGUAAAACGAAAGGCUUAUAGCAUUCUGUUGUCCAACUGUUUAUAUUUUUUAGAACUCUAUUCUCAAAAUUAUAAUCCCAAGUAAUGCUGCAACAGGUCAAAGGAAGAAGUCAAACCUGAAGAAGUGCAGGGAGGAAAUUACAGCUGCGUGUGUCCGGCUGGUUCAGGGGAUGUGCAGGGCGGCCGUAGCCAUGCGGGUGUCGAGGCAGGCGAUCUCGCGGAUGGAUGCCAUGCUGCGAGGGUAGGUUCCUGGGCGCCCGCUACGUUGAUGACGGAUUCCACGCUGCGAGCGGCAACAAUCGGCGACAAUCGGCGAUGGCGAUCGUGCAGGGAGGCGACGGUGUUGGUGGGCGGCAUCUGGUGCGGUGGUGACUCAAGGCAGACAAACGUCGAGGUCAAGGGCGAGGGAGCAGAUUUGAUUGAGUUUCCUUAGUUUGCGAUUUGAUUGCGUGAUUGUAGGGAAACACGGGAGGGAGCAGAUUUGGUUGUGUUUCCUUAGUUUGCGAUCUGAUUGCGUGAUUGCAGGGAAACAUGGGAUUGGUUGUUGGAAUACUCCUCUGGUGGUGGAGUACGGUCAGUCAUUAGAAAUUGCUAAGUACACACCAUCCCGCUAUUAGAUAAAUGAUGGCCGUUAGAUUGAAAUUUGUGGGACUAAUCGUGUGGUUCUGACUGGGUUGUGCGGUGUUGUGGGGGCUAAUAGUGGGGUGCGUGUAAGAAAGUUUUUGUUCGAUUGUUCAAUAGUAGUGGAGAAGUGGAGAUAAUCGUGUGGUUCUGACUGGGUUGUGCGGUGUUGUGGGGGCUAAUAGUAGGGUGCGUGUAAGAAAGUUCUUGUUCGAUUGUUUAAUAGUAGUGGAGAUAAGAAAGUUCUUGUUCGAUUGUUUAAUAGUAGUGGAGAAGUGGAGAUAAUCGUGUGGUUCUGACUGGGUUGUGCGGUGUUGUGGGGGCUAAUAGUG
This 1932-nucleotide long non-coding RNA is filed under the name Triticum aestivum (bread wheat). RNAcentral's name for it is "long non-coding RNA (TAES_LNC005650)". Lineage: Eukaryota; Viridiplantae; Streptophyta; Magnoliopsida; Poales; Poaceae. The record is from RNAcentral.